This 106-nucleotide small nuclear RNA is filed under the name Sus scrofa (pig). Lineage: Eukaryota; Metazoa; Chordata; Mammalia; Artiodactyla; Suidae. The record is from RNAcentral.
GUGCUUGCUUUGGCAGCACAUAUCUGAAAAUUGGAAUGAUACAGAGAAGAUCAGCAUGGCCCCUGUGCAAGGAUGCAUGCAAAUUCGUGAAACAUUUCAUAUAUAU